RNAcentral lists this ribosomal RNA (1122 nucleotides) under invertebrate metagenome. RNAcentral's name for it is "SSU rRNA". It matches the Rfam family "Eukaryotic small subunit ribosomal RNA", at positions 6 to 1155 of the family's 1831-position model. The record is from RNAcentral.
GGUUGAUCCUGCCAGUAGUCAUAUGCUUGUCUUAAAGAUUAAGCCAUGCAUGUCUAAGUAUAAAUAGUAUACAGUGAAACUGCGAAUGGCUCAUUAAAACAGUUAUAGUUUAUUUGAUAAUUGAAUUAUACAUGGAUAACCGUGGUAAUUCUAGAGCUAAUACAUGCAGUAAAACCUGACUUUUUGGAAAGGUUGUAUUUAUUAGAUAUCAAACCAAUAUUCCUUCGGGUCUAUUGUGAUGAUUCAUAAUAACUGAUCGAAGCUUAGCUAGUCUAAGCUAAAUCAUUCAAGUUUCUGCCCUAUCAGCUUUCGAUGGUAGUGUAUUGGACUACCAUGGCAGUCACGGGUAACGGGGAAUUAGGGUUCGAUUCCGGAGAGGGAGCCUGAGAAACGGCUACCACAUCUAAGGAAGGCAGCAGGCGCGUAAAUUACCCAAUCCUGACUCAGGGAGGUAGUGACAAGAAAUAACAACUCGGGGCCUCACGGCUUACGAGAUUGCAAUGAGAACAAUUUAAACCACUUAUCUAGGAACAAUUGGAGGGCAAGUCUGGUGCCAGCAGCCGCGGUAAUUCCAGCUCCAAUAGCGUAUAUUAAUGUUGUUGCAGUUAAAAAGCUCGUAGUUGAAUUUCUGAUUAAAAUAUUAGCUGGCUUCUGUCGUUAAUAUUUUAAUCAUCCGUUUGAGAACUAUAGAGGUCCUUAAUCGGUCACUAUAGAGAUCAAACAUUUUACUUUGAAAAAAUUAGAGUGUUCAAGGCAGAUAAUCGUCAUGAAUACUAUAGCAUGGAAUAAUGGAAUAGGACUUUGGUUCAUUUUAUUGGUUAUUGAACCUUAGUAAUGAUUAAAAGGGACAGUUGGGGGCAUUAGUAUUUAAUUGUCAGAGGUGAAAUUCUUGGAUUUAUUAAAGACUAACUUAUGCGAAAGCAUUUGCCAAGGAUGUUUUCAUUAAUCAAGAACGAAAGUUAGGGGAUCAAAGACGAUCAGAUACCGUCCUAGUCUUAACUAUAAACUAUACCGACGAGGGAUCAGCCACCUUUAUUUUACCUUGGCUGGCAACUUAUCAGCAAUCAAAGUCUUUGGCUUCUGCGGGGAGUAUGGUGGCAAAGCUGAAACUUAAAGGAAUUG